RNAcentral lists this ribosomal RNA (253 nucleotides) under uncultured bacterium. Its description in RNAcentral is "partial 16S ribosomal RNA". It matches the Rfam family "Bacterial small subunit ribosomal RNA", at positions 524 to 776 of the family's 1533-position model. The record is from RNAcentral.
UACGUAGGUGGCAAGCGUUAUCCGGAAUUACUGGGUUUAAAGGGUGCGUAGGCGGCUAUGUAAGUCAGGAGUGAAAGUUUGCGGCUCAACCGUAAAAUUGCUUUUGAUACUGCAUAGCUAGAAUUAGGAUGAGGUCAGCGGAAUGUGGCAUGUAGCGGUGAAAUGCAUAGAUAUGCCAUAGAACACCAAUUGCGAAGGCAGCUGGCUAGACCUGGAUUGACGCUGAGGCACGAAAGCGUGGGGAGCGAACAGG